RNAcentral lists this ribosomal RNA (419 nucleotides) under uncultured bacterium. Its description in RNAcentral is "bacterial SSU rRNA". It matches the Rfam family "Bacterial small subunit ribosomal RNA", at positions 357 to 774 of the family's 1533-position model. The record is from RNAcentral.
AGGAAUAUUGGUCAAUGGACGCAAGUCUGAACCAGCCAUGCCGCGUGAAGGAUGAAGGUCCUCUGGAUUGUAAACUUCUUUUAUCUGGGACGAAAACGGGAUUUUUAUCUCAAUUGACGGUACCAGAGGAAUAAGCACCGGCUAACUCCGUGCCAGCAGCCGCGGUAAUACGGAGGGUGCGAGCGUUAUCCGGAUUUACUGGGUUUAAAGGGUGCAUAGGUGGGCUUAUAAGUCAGUGGUGAAAUCUCCGAGCUUAACUUGGAAACUGCCGUUGAUACUAUAGGUCUUGAAUUAUCUGGAGGUAAGCGGAAUAUGUCAUGUAGCGGUGAAAUGCUUAGAUAUGACAUAGAACACCAAUUGCGAAGGCAGCUUACUACAUAUAAAUUGACGCUGAGGCACGAAAGCGUGGGGAUCAAACA